UGUGUGUAUAUGUAUGUACAAUAUACAAUAUGUGUGUAUUUUAUAUUUUUACACACACACACACACACACACACACACACACACACACAC
RNAcentral lists this microRNA precursor (90 nucleotides) under Pelodiscus sinensis (Chinese soft-shelled turtle). RNAcentral's name for it is "miRNA (ENSPSIG00000020235.1)". The record is from RNAcentral. Lineage: Eukaryota; Metazoa; Chordata; Testudines; Trionychidae.